Molecule: non-coding RNA, 83 nt
Organism: Podarcis lilfordi (Lilford's wall lizard)
Lineage: Eukaryota; Metazoa; Chordata; Lepidosauria; Squamata; Lacertidae
Source: the annotation of a GenBank genome assembly
GGUAAGCCCAGAAUGGGAAGGACUGCAGGUAGAGCAUCUGCUUUGCAUUCAGAAGGUCCCAGUUUCAAUCCCUGGCAUCUCCA